GUACUUCUGACGAGUCCCAAUCUAGGACGAAACAGUCGUCCAGUAC
Molecule: non-coding RNA, 46 nt
Filed under: Trichobilharzia regenti
Lineage: Eukaryota; Metazoa; Platyhelminthes; Trematoda; Strigeidida; Schistosomatidae
Source: RNAcentral